UGCCACUUUAAUGUUGGUACUACCACAGGC
Molecule: non-coding RNA, 30 nt
Filed under: Rattus norvegicus (Norway rat)
Lineage: Eukaryota; Metazoa; Chordata; Mammalia; Rodentia; Muridae
Source: RNAcentral